AUUCUUAAGGUACAAGAGAACUUUCAUAUCUUAUUUUAGGAAAGUAUAACAACAUAUUCAUAGAAUAUAAGACAAAGUUUCAGAUUUUCAUUUUAUGAAGAGGGGAUAACGUUGGUUUAAUUCAAGAACAGAGCAACGUCGUCCCUUAAUUGUGCAGCAAUAUAAAUUCGUUGUAGAGCAGCAACUAAGCAAUUCACUUAAGGGAAAGCUACAGCAACGUGAAUAUAGAGUGGGCAGCAGCAUUGUUAUUUUACGGGUUUCACUAAUUGCUUCGAUCUUGUUAUUCCAUUUUGUCGUGUUGUUGACUCCGGGCUUUCUUCGUAAUGAAGUAAGGUGGCAGAAGAUCAUUUCUUGGCAAAUAAGGCUAAAGGGGCGACGAAGCGAACUUGGUUAUGGUUAACCUGAAACAGGUACAGACGCUCGAUUCGGUGAUCCCUCAGCUUAGGACUUCUACUCAGCUGUCUUGGGGAGCUCCAUUGUUCCGGAGCCUAGACUUUUGGUACAGAUCUUCUGAUGUAUUUAUAUAUGGUUGUCCAGGGGUACGACGGGGCCCUGUCCCGUCAUAUUUCACUGUUAGUACUCUUAGAGGUCUAUAGACAUAUGUGUGGGUUGUGUAUAAGUUCGUUCAGCUGUGUCUAUACGAUGUGCUAUGGAUAUGUUCGUAUGUAGUGGCAGCCUUGUUGGCUUGUGUAUCAUCUUAUGACUUGAUCAGUUGUGACUCCUCAGGAGACAAUUAUCUGGACAUAUAUAUGAUGACGUUA
Long non-coding RNA from Lycium barbarum (goji berry), 761 nucleotides. RefSeq lists it as uncharacterized. Lineage: Eukaryota; Viridiplantae; Streptophyta; Magnoliopsida; Solanales; Solanaceae. The record is from RefSeq and is a predicted model, not a curated record. The transcript has 3 exons.